This 605-nucleotide long non-coding RNA is filed under the name Monodelphis domestica (gray short-tailed opossum). Its description in RNAcentral is "lncRNA (ENSMODG00000032540.2)". The record is from RNAcentral. Lineage: Eukaryota; Metazoa; Chordata; Mammalia; Didelphimorphia; Didelphidae.
CUCUUCCCCACAAGUCAUUCCACAUCAACUCUCCCAUGAAGCCUUGGAAAUCAUAUUGUUGUGGAAAAGAUAUUCCACUAACCUAUCUAUGAUCUAACAAGUUCUAUAAAUAUGAUCCCAUGAUUCUCUCUAAGCCUUCCUUUCUCCUGCUUAAACAUUCCUAGCUCUUUCUUGUAUGGCCUUGUCUCCAAACCAGUCUCCAUCAUGUCUACCCUUCUCUGGAUGUACUCAACUGAAUGAUGAGAAGGAGCCAAACUAUCCUCUGACCACAGGCCUUUACGACUCCUGCCGCACAUGUUCCCUGGGGAAGAUGGCAAGCAGCCAGGCUGGGCUGACUUCCAUCUGUACCAGCACAAGGCAACUCCCACCUCCUGCUGUCAGCCUGAUCUCCUAAUCAGAAUGUGGAGAAGCACUCCUGCAAAAAGAAGCAAGCCUCCCUUUGACCUCAGGCCUUCCAUCUCCUUCUGCCCUUGAGUCCUGAAAGAAGAGGAAGAGUAAAGUCAGUGAGGGACAGAGCUCUUUUUAAAUUUGGUUUGCAUUAUUAACAUUUUGUUAAAAUCCAAAUAAUCAAUAAAACAAUAAAUCCAGCCCUCUUAUGUAGCUUU